UACAGAGGUCUCAAGCGUUGUUCGGAUUCAUUGGGCGUAAAGAGCUUGUAGGCGGUUUGUCGCGUCUGCUGUGAAAUUUCGGGGCUCAACCCCGAACUUGCAGUGGGUACGGGCAGACUAGAGUGUGGUAGGGGAGACUGGAAUUCCUGGUGUAGCGGUGAAAUGCGCAGAUAUCAGGAGGAACACCGAUGGCGAAGGCAGGUCUCUGGGCCACUACUGACGCUGAGAAGCGAAAGCAUGGGGAGCGAACAGG
Molecule: ribosomal RNA, 253 nt
Filed under: uncultured bacterium
Lineage: Bacteria
Description: partial 16S ribosomal RNA
Rfam family: Bacterial small subunit ribosomal RNA
Source: RNAcentral